UAAAAAGAGAGUUGCCUUCUUCUUUAUGUUAUAAGAUGCUCGUUGGAGUAGUCGCCAUGGCCAGGGAGCAUCGUCUCUUUGAGCGGACUAAAGGCAUCAAUGGUCUAGAAAAGAUCAUCAUCAGCGAUCGUCACUGCCAAUCUUUCGGGGUGUACUUGUAUGGAGGUCAAGUGACUGCUUGGAAGAAUGAGAAAGGAGAGGAGUUACUUUUCGCAAGGUUCUUCAUAUUCAUCCUUUUAAUUAUAUCAUCAUAUCUAUUAUCUAUAUAUAAUAUAUGCCCUAGCUAAUCAUGAGUGAGAUUUGUGAUUUGAUAUCAUAUGUGAUGUAUUCGACCUAUACGCCAACGUUGACUGGGCAGUGGGCAAACUUAUGAUUCGGACUAUAGGCCAGCUUCCGAUGUUAAUGGUUACAGCAGUUACAAUUUAUGAAUCGUUGUGCUCUGUGUUGUUCCGAAGUUUAAAAAAAAAACAAGUGCUAGAGAGCCAAUGUAGUUGAAUGUGCAGUGUAAAUCUAGGUGCCUCUUUCUUUCAUAUUUCGAUGUAUUUGACACGAUAGAUCUAGUCACAUAGAACAGUUUCAUGUUUUUUUUUUC
Brassica napus (rape) is the source of this 592-nucleotide long non-coding RNA. RefSeq lists it as uncharacterized. The record is from RefSeq and is a predicted model, not a curated record. Lineage: Eukaryota; Viridiplantae; Streptophyta; Magnoliopsida; Brassicales; Brassicaceae. The transcript is spliced from 2 exons.